UCAAUAUUAUUUUUAUAAUUCAGUAGGUUCACAAACAUAAUUACCGUGAUAUAGACUAACCAUUAUUACUACGUAUUAAAUAUCCUGUCACAACUUCUA
Long non-coding RNA from Ipomoea nil (Japanese morning glory), 99 nucleotides. RefSeq lists it as uncharacterized. The record is from RefSeq and is a predicted model, not a curated record. Lineage: Eukaryota; Viridiplantae; Streptophyta; Magnoliopsida; Solanales; Convolvulaceae. The transcript is spliced from 3 exons.